Molecule: ribosomal RNA, 254 nt
Filed under: uncultured bacterium
Lineage: Bacteria
Description: partial 16S ribosomal RNA
Rfam family: Bacterial small subunit ribosomal RNA
Source: RNAcentral
UACGGGGGGAGCAAGCGUUGUUCGGAUUUACUGGGCGUAAAGGGCGCGUAGGCGGCCAGCACAAGUCAGUUGUGAAAUCUCCGAGCUUAACUCGGAAAGGUCAACUGAUACUGUGCGGCUAGAGUGCGGAAGGGGCAACUGGAAUUCUUGGUGUAGCGGUGAAAUGCGUAGAUAUCAAGAGGAACACCUGCGGCGAAGGCGGGUUGAUGGGCCGACACUGACGCUGAGGCGCGAAAGCCAGGGGAGCAAACGGG